RNAcentral lists this ribosomal RNA (252 nucleotides) under uncultured bacterium. Its description in RNAcentral is "partial 16S ribosomal RNA". It matches the Rfam family "Bacterial small subunit ribosomal RNA", at positions 525 to 776 of the family's 1533-position model. The record is from RNAcentral.
ACGUAGGUGGCAAGCGUUAUCCGGAUUUACUGGGCGUAAAGCGCGUGCAGGCGGUUUCGUAAGUCGGACGUGAAAGCUCCUGGCUUAACUGGGAGAGGUCGUUCGAUACUGCGAGACUUGAGGUCGGGAGAGGGACGUGGAAUUCCCGGUGUAGUGGUGGAAUGCGUAGAUAUCGGGAGGAACACCAGUGGCGAAGGCGGCGUCCUGGCCCGCACCUGACGCUGAGACGCGAAAGCGUGGGUAGCGAACGGG